ACGCUAGCUACAGGCUUAACACAUGCAAGUCGAGGGGAAACGGCAUUUAGUGCUUGCACCGAAUGGACGUCGACCGGCGCACGGGUGAGUAACGCGUAUCCAACCUACCCAUUACUGUGGGAUAACCUGCCGAAAGGCAGACUAAUACCGCAUAGUCUUCGAUGACGGCAUCAGAUUUGAAGUAAAGAUUUAUCGGUAAUGGAUGGGGAUGCGUCUGAUUAGCUUGUUGGCGGGGUAACGGCCCACCAAGGCAACGAUCAGUAGGGGUUCUGAGAGGAAGGUCCCCCACAUUGGAACUGAGACACGGUCCAAACUCCUACGGGAGGCAGCAGUGAGGAAUAUUGGUCAAUGGACGAGAGUCUGAACCAGCCAAGUAGCGUGCAGGAUGACGGCCCUAUGGGUUGUAAACUGCUUUUGUAUGGGGAUAAAGUCAAUCACGUGUGAUUGUUUGCAGGUACCAUACGAAUAAGGACCGGCUAAUUCCGUGCCAGCAGCCGCGGUAAUACGGAAGGUCCGGGCGUUAUCCGGAUUUAUUGGGUUUAAAGGGAGCGUAGGCCGGAGAUUAAGUGUGUUGUGAAAUGUAGACGCUCAACGUCUGACUUGCAGCGCAUACUGGUUUCCUUGAGUACGCACAACGUUGGCGGAAUUCGUCGUGUAGCGGUGAAAUGCUUAGAUAUGACGAAGAACUCCGAUUGCGAAGGCAGCUGACGGGAGUGCAACUGACGCUUAAGCUCGAAGGUGCGGGUAUCGAACAGGAUUAGAUACCCUGGUAGUCCGCACAGUAAACGAUGGAUGCCCGCUGUUGGUACCUGGUAUCAGCGGCUAAGCGAAAGCAUUAAGCAUCCCACCUGGGGAGUACGCCGGCAACGGUGAAACUCAAAGGAAUUGACGGGGGCCCGCACAAGCGGAGGAACAUGU
RNAcentral lists this ribosomal RNA (918 nucleotides) under uncultured bacterium. Its description in RNAcentral is "bacterial SSU rRNA". It matches the Rfam family "Bacterial small subunit ribosomal RNA", at positions 33 to 942 of the family's 1533-position model. The record is from RNAcentral.